This 27-nucleotide small RNA is filed under the name Bombyx mori (domestic silkworm). RNAcentral's name for it is "ovarian small RNA-17644". Lineage: Eukaryota; Metazoa; Arthropoda; Insecta; Lepidoptera; Bombycidae. The record is from RNAcentral.
GUAGAACGCAAUUUGUACAGAUACGGA